AGGUAAGCUACUAAGAGCGAAUGGUGGAUGCCUUGACUGGUAGAGGCGAUGAAGGACGUACUAGACUGCGAUAAGCUAGGUGGAGCUGUCAAGAAGCUUUGAUGCCUAGAUUUCCGAAUGGGGCAACCCAAUGUAUAGAGAUAUACAUUACCAUAAUGGAGCGAACGAGGGGAAUUGAAACAUCUUAGUACCCUCAGGAAAAGAAAUCAAAAGAGAUUGCGUCAGUAGCGGCGAGCGAAAGCGCAAGAGGGCAAACCCAGUGCUUGCACUGGGGGUUGUAGGACUGCAAUGUGCAAUAGGAAAGGUUAGCAGAACACUCUGGAAAGUGUAGCCAUAGAGGGUGAUAGUCCCGUAUGCGAAAACCUAACCUUAGCUAGCAGUAUCCUGAGUAGGGCGGAACACGAGAAAUUCUGUCUGAAGCUGGGUAGACCACUAUCCAACCCUAAAUACUACUACCAGAUCGAUAGCGAACAAGUACCGUGAGGGAAAGGUGAAAAGAACGGCGGUGAGCCGAGUGAAAUAGAACCUGAAACCAUUUGCUUACAAUCAUUCAGAGCCCUAUGGAGCAAUCCAGGGUGAUGGACUGCCUUUUGCAUAAUGAGCCUGCGAGUUGUGGUGUCUGGCAAGGUUAAGCUAACGCGAAGCCGUAGCGAAAGCGAGUCUGAAUAGGGCGCUAAGUCAGAUGCUGCAGACCCGAAACGAAGUGAUCUAUCCAUGAGCAGGUUGAAGCUAGUGUAAGAACUAGUGGAGGACCGAACCCGCUAGCGUUGAAAAGCUAUGGGAUGACUUGUGGAUAGGGGUGAAAGGCCAAUCAAACUUCGUGAUAGCUGGUUCUCUCCGAAAUAUAUUUAGGUAUAGCGUUGUGUCGUAAUAUAAGGGGGUAGAGCACUGAAUGGGCUAGGGCAUACACCAAUGUACCAAACCCUAUCAAACUCCGAAUACCUUAUAUGUAAUCACAGCAGUCAGGCGGCGAGUGAUAAAAUCCGUCGUCAAGAGGGAAACAACCCAGACUACCCGCUAAGGUCCCCAAAUCUUACUUAAGUGGAAAACGAUGUGAAGUUACUCAAACAACCAGGAGGUUGGCUUAGAAGCAGCCAUCCUUUAAAGAAAGCGUAAUAGCUCACUGGUCUAGUGAUUUUGCGCGGAAAAUAUAACGGGGCUAAAGUAAGUACCGAAGCGGUAGGCUUGUGCUUA
Molecule: ribosomal RNA, 1194 nt
Filed under: Campylobacter helveticus
Lineage: Bacteria; Pseudomonadati; Campylobacterota; Epsilonproteobacteria; Campylobacterales; Campylobacteraceae
Description: partial 23S ribosomal RNA
Rfam family: Bacterial large subunit ribosomal RNA
Source: RNAcentral